CGCCUCUUGUAAACUAAAAAUAGGAGGUACCGCCUGCCCAGUGACGACAUGUUUAACGGCCGCGGUAUUAUGACCGUGCGAAGGUAGCGCACUCACUUGUCUUUUAAAUGAAGACCCGUAUGAAUGGCAUAACGAGGGCUAAACUGUCUCCUUUUUCCGGCCAAUGAAAUUGAUCUCCCCGUGCAGAAGCGGGGCUAUGCCCUUAAGACGAGAAGACCAGGUGGAGCUUUAGACAACAGGCCAGAUCUUAUUCAGCCCCCCCUUAACAAAGGGGCCAGCCCAAGGACGCUGACCCAAUGUCUUCGGUUGGGGGGAGCGCGGAGCACACAAAACGUCCGUUCGGAAAAGGAGAACUUCUCCCACAGCCAAGAGUAACUACUCUCAGAAAUAGAAUUUCUAAAGAAAGGUUCCGGCGAAGCGAAAAAAAAAACUAAGUUACCCCAGGGAUAACAGCGCAAUCCCCUUUCAGAGUACACAUCGACAAGGGGGUUUACGACCUCGAUGUUGGAUCAGGACAUCCCAAUGGGGGGACCGCUAUGAAGGGUUCGUUUGUUCAACGAUUAAAGCCCU
Molecule: ribosomal RNA, 570 nt
Filed under: Channa gachua (dwarf snakehead)
Lineage: Eukaryota; Metazoa; Chordata; Actinopteri; Anabantiformes; Channidae
Description: partial 16S ribosomal RNA
Rfam family: Bacterial large subunit ribosomal RNA
Source: RNAcentral